Molecule: ribosomal RNA, 301 nt
Filed under: uncultured bacterium
Lineage: Bacteria
Description: partial 16S ribosomal RNA
Rfam family: Bacterial small subunit ribosomal RNA
Source: RNAcentral
CAGCCGCCGCGGUAAUACGUAGGUGGCAAGCGUUGUCCGGAAUUAUUGGGCGUAAAGGGCUCGCAGGCGGUUUCUUAAGUCUGAUGUGAAAGCCCCCGGCUCAACCGGGGAGGGUCAUUGGAAACUGGGAAACUUGAGUGCAGAAGAGGAGAGUGGAAUUCCACGUGUAGCGGCGAAAUGCGUAGAGAUGUGGAGGAACACCAGUGGCGAAGGCGACUCUCUGGUCUGUAACUGACGCUGAGGAGCGAAAGCGUGGGGAGCGAACAGGAUUAGAUACCCGCGUAGUCCCUGUCUCUUAUAA